AGAGUUUGAUCCUGGCUCAGGAUGAACGCUAGCGAUAGGCCUAACACAUGCAAGUCGAGGGGCAGCACAUGAAGUAGCAAUACGGAUGGUGGCGACCGGCGCACGGGUGAGUAACGCGUAUGCAACCUGCCUACAACAGGGGAAUAACCCGUUGAAAGACGGACUAAUACCCCAUAACACAGGGAUCCCGCAUGGGAAUAUUUGUUAAAGAUUUAUCGGUUGUAGAUGGGCAUGCGUUCCAUUAGCUGGUUGGUGAGGUAACGGCUCACCAAGGCAACGAUGGAUAGGGGAACUGAGAGGUUUAUCCCCCACACUGGUACUGAGACACGGACCAGACUCCUACGGGAGGCAGCAGUGAGGAAUAUUGGUCAAUGGACGCAAGUCUGAACCAGCCACGUCGCGUGAAGGAAGACGGCCCUACGGGUUGUAAACUUCUUUUGUAAGGGAAUAAAGUGCAGUACGUGUACUGUUUUGCAUGUACCUUACGAAUAAGGAUCGGCUAACUCCGUGCCAGCAGCCGCGGUAAUACGGAGGAUCCGAGCGUUAUCCGGAUUUAUUGGGUUUAAAGGGUGCGCAGGCGGGAGAUUAAGUCGGCGGUGAAAUUUUGCAGCUCAACUGUAAAAGUGCCUUCGAAACUGGUUUUCUUGAGUGUGGAUGAAGUAGGCGGAAUUUGUGGUGUAGCGGUGAAAUGCAUAGAUAUCACGAGGAACUCCGAUUGCGCAGCAGCUUACUAAACCAUAACUGACGCUCAGGCACGAAGGCGUGGGGAUCAAACAGGAUUAGAUACCCUGGUAGUC
RNAcentral lists this ribosomal RNA (797 nucleotides) under uncultured Porphyromonadaceae bacterium. RNAcentral's name for it is "bacterial SSU rRNA". It matches the Rfam family "Bacterial small subunit ribosomal RNA", at positions 8 to 795 of the family's 1533-position model. Lineage: Bacteria; Pseudomonadati; Bacteroidota; Bacteroidia; Bacteroidales; Porphyromonadaceae. The record is from RNAcentral.